AUAUGUUUUGCAGCUAAAAGAUGAGAAACAGAAGCUAACAUUCCAGUCUGCUUUAAAGACAGCAGCAACACAACCACUAUUUUCUGAUCACAUCGCUUGCUUAUAAAUAGUUGCAUACUCAGCUACUUUCAUGUUGUCAGUGUAUGUAAAUAUGAACCAUUCCUUCUCUGUACAAUUAAAUAUAGAAAAACAAUUCUUGUGCUUAUGGUAAAUAUCAGUGUUAGAUAUGUAUAAUGUAGAUGAUGUGUUAAACGCUGCCUUACUAUUCA
Long non-coding RNA from Cryptotermes secundus, 269 nucleotides. RefSeq lists it as uncharacterized. The record is from RefSeq and is a predicted model, not a curated record. Lineage: Eukaryota; Metazoa; Arthropoda; Insecta; Blattodea; Kalotermitidae. The transcript is spliced from 2 exons.